UAUAAUAUAUUUUAAAGUAAAAAUAGAAGUGUGUGGUGCUUAAGAUAGGAAAGAGGGACUUAUUAUAA
RNAcentral lists this transfer RNA (68 nucleotides) under Halocynthia papillosa. Its description in RNAcentral is "transfer RNA-His". Lineage: Eukaryota; Metazoa; Chordata; Ascidiacea; Stolidobranchia; Pyuridae. The record is from RNAcentral.